GAUGAACGCUGGCGGCGUGCCUAAUACAUGCAAGUCGAGCGAACGGACGAGAAGCUUGCUUCUCUGAUGUUAGCGGCGGACGGGUGAGUAACGCGUGGAUAACCUACCUAUAAGACUGGGAUAACUUCGGGAAACCGGAGCUAAUACCGGAUAAUAUUUUGAACCGCAUGGUUCAAAAGCGAAAGACGGUCUUGCUGUCACUUAUAGAUGGAUCCGCGCUGCAUUAGCUAGUUGGUAAGGUAACGGCUUACCAAGGCAACGAUGCAUAGCCGACCUGAGAGGGUGAUCGGCCACACUGGAACUGAGACACGGUCCAGACUCCUACGGGAGGCAGCAGUAGGGAAUCUUCCGCAAUGGGCGAAAGCCUGACGGAGCAACGCCGCGUGAGUGAUGAAGGUCUUCGGAUCGUAAAACUCUGUUAUUAGGGAAGAACAUAUGUGUAAGUAACUGUGCACAUCUUGACGGUACCUAAUCAGAAAGCCACGGCUAACUACGUG
This 497-nucleotide ribosomal RNA is filed under the name uncultured bacterium. Its description in RNAcentral is "partial 16S ribosomal RNA". It matches the Rfam family "Bacterial small subunit ribosomal RNA", at positions 28 to 507 of the family's 1533-position model. The record is from RNAcentral.